GUCUGAUCAUGGCUCAGAUUGAACGUUAUGAUGCUUUACACAUGCAAGUCGAACGGCAGCACGGACUUCGGUCUGGUGGCGAGUGGUAAUCGCGAGUAAUGUAUCGGAACGUGCCUAGUAGCGGGGGAUAACUACGCGAAAGGUAGCCAAUACCGCAUACGCCCUUCGGGGGAAAGCGGGGGACCUUCGGGCCUCGCAAUUUAUUAGAGCGGCCGAUAUCGGAUUAGCUAGUUGGUGGCAACGGCUCACUGGCUAGCGACGAUCCGUAGCUGGUUUGAGAGGACGACCAGCCACACUGGGACUGAGACACGGCCCAGACUCCUACGGAGCAGCAGUGGGAAAUUUUGACAAUGGGGAAACCCUGAUCCAGCCAUCCCUGUGCGAUGAAGGCUCGGGUUGUAAAGCACUUUUGGCAGGAAAAAGAAACGGCACGGGAUAAUACCCCGUGCAACUGACGGUACCUGCAGAAUAAGCACCGGCCAACUACGUGCCAGCAGCCGCGGUAAUACGUAGGGUGCAAGUAAUCGGAAUUACUGGGCGUAAAGCGUGCGCAGGCGAGUUCGGAAAGAAAGAUGUGAAAUCCCAGAGCUUAACUUUGGAACUGCAUUUUUAACUACCGAGCUAGGAGUGUGUCAGAGGGAGGUAAAUUCCGCGUGUAGCAGUGAAAUGCGUAGAUAUGCGGAGGAACACCGAUGGCGAAGGCAGCCUCCUGGGAUAACACUGACGCUCAUGCACGAAAGCGUGGGGAGCAAACAGGAUUAGAUACCCUGGUAGUCCACGCCCUAAACGAUGUCAACUAGCUGUUGGGGCUUUCUGGCCUUGGUAGCGCAGCGACGGUAUAGUUGACCGCCUGGGGAGCAUGUCGCAAAGAUUAAAACUCAAAGGAAUUGACGGGGACCCGCACAAGCGUGGAUGAUGAUUGUCUCGAUGCAAAUGGCGAAAACCUUACCUACUCCUUGACAUGUCUGAAUCCCUAAAGAGAUUGGGAGUGCUGCAAGAGAACCGGAACACAGGUGCUGCAUGGCUGUCGUCAGCUCGUGUCGUGAGAUGUUGGGUUAAGUCCCGCAACGAGCGCAACCCUUGUCAUUAGUUGCUACGUGAAAGGGCACUCGGGACGACUGCCGGUGACAAAUCCUGGAGGAAGGGGGAUGUGACGCUGGUCUCGCAGGCCUUGCGGUAGGGCUUCAACACGUCAGUAAGCAAUGGUCGGGAUAGAGGUGGUCGCCAACCCGCGAGGGGGAGCCAAUCCCAGAAACCCGAUCGUAGCUUCGGAUCGCAGUCUGCACCGACUGCGUGAAGUCGGAAUCGCUAGUAAUCGCGGAUCAGCAUGUCGCGGUGAAUACGUUCCCCGGGUCUUGUACACACCGCCCGUCACACCAUGGGAGUGGGUUUUACCAGAAGUAGUUAGCCUAACCGGGAGGAGGGCGAUUACCACGGUAGGAUUCAUGACUGGGUGAAGUCGUAACAAGGUAA
Molecule: ribosomal RNA, 1473 nt
Filed under: uncultured Bordetella sp.
Lineage: Bacteria; Pseudomonadati; Pseudomonadota; Betaproteobacteria; Burkholderiales; Alcaligenaceae
Description: partial 16S-23S ribosomal RNA intergenic spacer
Rfam family: Bacterial small subunit ribosomal RNA
Source: RNAcentral